RNAcentral lists this ribosomal RNA (1434 nucleotides) under uncultured organism. Its description in RNAcentral is "SSU rRNA". It matches the Rfam family "Bacterial small subunit ribosomal RNA". The record is from RNAcentral.
CUUAACACAUGCAAGUCGAGGGGCAGCACAGGUAGCAAUACCGGGUGGCGACCGGCGCACGGGUGAGUAACGCGUAUGCAACUUGCCUAUCAGAGGGGGAUAACCCGGCGAAAGUCGGACUAAUACCGCAUGAAGCAGGGAUCCCGCAUGGGAAUAUUUGCUAAAGAUUCAUCGCUGAUAGAUAGGCAUGCGUUCCAUUAGGCAGUUGGCGGGGUAACGGCCCACCAAACCGACGAUGGAUAGGGGUUCUGAGAGGAAGGUCCCCCACAUUGGUACUGAGACACGGACCAAACUCCUACGGGAGGCAGCAGUGAGGAAUAUUGGUCAAUGGCCGAGAGGCUGAACCAGCCAAGUCGCGUGAGGGAUGAAGGUUCUAUGGAUCGUAAACCUCUUUUAUAAGGGAAUAAAGUGCGGGACGUGUCCCGUUUUGUAUGUACCUUAUGAAUAAGGAUCGGCUAACUCCGUGCCAGCAGCCGCGGUAAUACGGAGGAUCCGAGCGUUAUCCGGAUUUAUUGGGUUUAAAGGGUGCGUAGGCGGCCUUUUAAGUCAGCGGUGAAAGUCUGUGGCUCAACCAUAGAAUUGCCGUUGAAACUGGGGGGCUUGAGUAUGUUUGAGGCAGGCGGAAUGCGUGGUGUAGCGGUGAAAUGCAUAGAUAUCACGCAGAACCCCGAUUGCGAAGGCAGCCUGCCAAGCCAUUACUGACGCUGAUGCACGAAAGCGUGGGGAUCAAACAGGAUUAGAUACCCUGGUAGUCCACGCAGUAAACGAUGAUCACUAGCUGUUUGCGAUACACUGUAAGCGGCACAGCGAAAGCGUUAAGUGAUCCACCUGGGGAGUACGCCGGCAACGGUGAAACUCAAAGGAAUUGACGGGGGCCCGCACAAGCGGAGGAACAUGUGGUUUAAUUCGAUGAUACGCGAGGAACCUUACCCGGGUUUGAACGCAUUCGGACCGAGGUGGAAACACCUUUUCUAGCAAUAGCCGUUUGCGAGGUGCUGCAUGGUUGUCGUCAGCUCGUGCCGUGAGGUGUCGGCUUAAGUGCCAUAACGAGCGCAACCCUUGCCACUAGUUACUAACAGGUAAAGCUGAGGACUCUGGUGGGACUGCCAGCGUAAGCUGCGAGGAAGGCGGGGAUGACGUCAAAUCAGCACGGCCCUUACAUCCGGGGCGACACACGUGUUACAAUGGCGUGGACAAAGGGAGGCCACCUGGCGACAGGGAGCGAAUCCCCAAACCACGUCUCAGUUCGGAUCGGAGUCUGCAACCCGACUCCGUGAAGCUGGAUUCGCUAGUAAUCGCGCAUCAGCCAUGGCGCGGUGAAUACGUUCCCGGGCCUUGUACACACCGCCCGUCAAGCCAUGGGAGCCGGGGGUACCUGAAGUCCGUAACCGCGAGGAUCGGCCUAGGGUAAAACUGGUGACUGGGGCUAAGUCG